RNAcentral lists this ribosomal RNA (1661 nucleotides) under Plasmodium cf. fieldi. RNAcentral's name for it is "SSU rRNA". It matches the Rfam family "Eukaryotic small subunit ribosomal RNA", at positions 61 to 1439 of the family's 1831-position model. The record is from RNAcentral. Lineage: Eukaryota; Apicomplexa; Aconoidasida; Haemosporida; Plasmodiidae.
AAGUACAUGCGUAUAUAUGGAUAUAUGCAGAAACUGCGAACGGCUCAUUAAAACAGUUAUAAUCUACUUGACAUAUUUUUUAUAAGGAUAACUACGGAAAAGCUGUAGCUAAUACUUGCUUUAGCACUCCUGAUUAAGUUCUUGAGUGUGUACUUGUUAAGCCUUUUAAGAAAAAAGUUAUUAACUUAAGGAAUUAUAACAAAGAAGUAACACGUGGUGGAGAUUUCAUCUUAGUGUGUAUCAAUCGAGUUUCUGACCUAUCAGCUGUUGAUGUUAGGGUAUUGGCCUAACAUGGCUAUGACGGGUAACGGGGAAUUAGAGUUCGAUUCCGGAGAGGGAGCCUGAGAAAUAGCUACCACAUCUAAGGAAGGCAGCAGGCGCGUAAAUUACCCAAUUCUAAAAAAGAGAGGUAGUGACAAGAAAUAACAAUACAAGACCAAAAAUGGUUUUGUAAUUGCAAUGAUGGGAAUUUAAAUCCUACUCAAAAUACAAUUGGAGGGCAAGUCUGGUGCCAGCAGCCGCGGUAAUUCCAGCUCCAAUAGCGUAUAUUAAAAUUGUUGCAGUUAAAACGCUCGUAGUUGAAUUUCAGAGAAUCUCUAUUAUAGUAAUGCUUUUGGGUGCUAGAGCCACAUAAAGUAAGCCAUUGCGGUUUCGGCUUUAUGUGCGGAUCUCUAUUCUACCGCUUAAGUGUUGUUAUAAUUAAAUCGUUUCUCUUUAAAAUCUUCUUUAGCUAAAACAUAUGGAAGAUUUUGUUACUUUGAGUAAAAUAAAGUGUUCAUAACAAACCAAGCAGUGCGUAACGCGUCUGAAUACUACAGCAUGGAAUAACAAAAUUGAACUAGUCAAAACUAUGUUUCCUUUUUUUUUAUUUUUGGCUUAGUUACGAUUAAUAGGAGUAGUUUGGGGACAUUUGUAUUCAGAUGUCAGAGGUGAAAUUCUAAGAUUUUCUGGAGACAAACAACUGCGAAGGCAUUUGUCUAAAAUACUUCCAUUAAUCAAGAACGAAAGUUAAGGGAGUGAAGACGAUCAGAUACCGUCGUAAUCUUAACCAUAAACUAUACCGACUAGGUUUUGGAUGAAAGUAAAACAAAUAAGGAUAGUCUCUUCGGGGAUAGUCUUUAGAUUUCUUCCUUCAGUACCCUAUGAGAAAUCAAAGUCUUUGGGUUCUGGGGCGAGUAUUCGCGCAGCGAGAAAGUUAAAAGAAUUGACGGAAGGGCACCACCAGGCGUGGAGCUGCGGCUUAUUUGACUCAACACGGGAAAACUCACUAGUUUAAGACAAGAGUAGGAUUGACAGAUUAAUAGCUCUUUCUUGAUUUCUUGGAUGGUGAUGCAUGGCCGUUUUUAGUUCGUGAAUAUGAUUUGUCUGGUUAAUUCCGAUAACGAACGAGAUCUUAACCUGCUAAUUAGCGGUAAGUACGACAUAUUUUUAUGUCGAAUUGGAUUUGGAUGAUUUGCUUAUAUUGAGGUGCAUAUAAUGAAGGAUCGGGAUUGCUUUUCGCGUCAGUGAUUUUUUAUCGAAUCGUUGAUGCGUUUUGUAUAUUUCGUUCUUUUUGUUCCCUGCGCUUCUUUACUUGGCUUAUCUUACCAUUUCCUUUUUGUGUAGAAAUGUAUUUGCAUUAUGUAAAGCUUCUUAGAGGAACGAUGUGUGUCUAACACAAG